Molecule: long non-coding RNA, 901 nt
Organism: Rhipicephalus sanguineus (brown dog tick)
Lineage: Eukaryota; Metazoa; Arthropoda; Arachnida; Ixodida; Ixodidae
Exons: 3
Source: RefSeq, a predicted model, not a curated record
CUUUCGCUGAUAGUGAGAAACAGCUUCUCUGCUUACGUUCGUCAUGACGCCAUGCUCACGUGUUUUUAAUGUAUAAAAAGAAUCAGUAGGCGACACGAAUUUUUAUUCGAUAUUGUUUCGUAUAUCAGAACCUAAGAUGCCCGCUUUAAGGAAUAUGGCAUUUAUUCUGCUCUUGCUGACUAUAAUUAACGGCGUACUUGGGACUGGACCACUAAUUGAUGGUGGAGGACUAUAUCCGCCAACAACUCCAAGCCCAAUAGAUGGUGGUGGGCUACCAAGCUGCGGCGAACCGUGCACCUCUACAGGAUCUUCAGACACCAAACCAUGCCCGCCAGGCUGCAUUUGUAAUACGAACUCUCCAGGUGAAACAGGUACAUGCAUUGUUGAGCCAUAGCACUGUCUUCAUGAGCUUCUAAAUAUAUUCAAAUAAAGUCGACGUAAAACGAAUGGCCUCACAGCAUCAUGUCUUUACAAUAAUCUACUUCAACCGGACUCACAAUGAAGACCGAAUAAAUUGAGCAUGCUUUUUUCUUGGCUGUGAAAUGUGUAAAAAAGCGUUAAAUAUACAAAGACUAGCAAUACAUGUAAGCAAAACUUAAUCAGGGUCCGUAUUCACAAAAAACAUUUAAGCUAUAGUUCGCAAGGAAAAAAGGAAUGCGCAGCUUGCACUAGUAGCGCAAGGCUGGAACCAGGGCUGGGCAGAGAUACCCGGAAAAGUAUUCCGGAAUGCAGAUAUCCAAAUACAUGGGUUUGAAGCCUAAAAUACAGAUACUGAGAUACAUUUUCCUUUACCCCAACGGGAUAUUUCAGAGAUAUUUUCGCAAUAAGACUAAAAAAGUAUUCUAGAAUACAGAUACAGCAAUACAGAUGCUGGAAUGCUGUUUUUAUUUCGGUGAUGCUC